This 1416-nucleotide long non-coding RNA is filed under the name Penaeus monodon (black tiger shrimp). RNAcentral's name for it is "uncharacterized LOC119589055, transcript variant X1". Lineage: Eukaryota; Metazoa; Arthropoda; Malacostraca; Decapoda; Penaeidae. The record is from RNAcentral.
ACGCUACAAGUCACCAACUACUUUAUCGCGCAGUCUGUGUAUACCCGUGGUGGAGGCAGGACGUGCGCCGGUUCGCUCUCUCUCUGAUGAGUGGCGUCCCCGUGCACCAUCACCGAGCUCGGUUUUUAGUUAAAGCUGAGAUCAGGCAAGGAAAAAGUAGAGGCUCAAGGAAGGAGAAAAUGGACCGUGCGAACUCAAUGGAUAAAAGAGCCGAAGGACAAAGAAAAAAGAGAAGAGCUGUGGCUGGCGAGUAGUCGGCCUCUCCCCGCCAGGUCGUGACAAAGAGAAACUUCAUGACACUAAGACAGCAGAAAACACGGGGCUGCGACGACGGCAUGGCCAGCGUUACCAAAAGCCAAGCAGAGGAUACCACGGCGGCGGAUGAACCACUGGUACCAACGCCGAGAGCAAGCUAUGACUCAACUCUUCCACAAGGACCUGCGUUCCGUGGGGCAUGGAACUGAAAUUUCUGUGACAGAUCGAGGGCCGCCCGUCACGCUGACAACGAGGAUGACCUCCAAGACUACGUAGUUCGCUAAACUGCGGUCAUGUGAAGCCACGGCGACGUAACGCACCUGCGAUGGACUCCGAGCCUCGAGGAGGACCUUGCGUAAAGUGAGUGGGAGGAUAUGCAGCGCCAUCGCUAUGCAAAAUCAUCAAUCACAGAAGACAUCACCGGAGCAAAGCUUUCUUCUGAACUUAAGAGAAGAAUGAUAAAGGGCCUCCCCCCCACCAGUAUCCCCUCCCCCUUCCCGGACAGAAUUUCUCCAAUCGCAUUUGCAUCCUCAAGCAAUGGGAAAUUUCUUGCUCAGCAAAGAUAUUCCACACGCCCCAGGGGUCUUUUCCUCUUUCAUGCCUUUCUCCAUCAUAGCAUGAAUAUUUUAGGAAUUGCGGGACCGCUCCUGCUGGGCUGUUCCCAUGAAUGUUAAGAGAAAUAAACUGAUAACUUUAUGAAGCAUAAUUUGACAAAUUGUAUAUAGAUUUAACUGAAGCAUUUGAUGUUGCAUAGUAAUUUCACCCCAAAAUCAGAUUCAAGUUGCAGAAGUGUUUCAAAGUCAUUUUCACCCUUUUACUUGCAAUAAAAAGAUGAUGCAUUAAUUCUGAAAAUCUAAUAAAAAAUAGUCCUUGACAAGAUAACUUUUCUUUGUUUUGACUUGUUAAAAAGAAGUUUGUUUUAAACUUUAUAAUCUCUAUAACUUUCUUGAUCUAGUUUCGACAUUAAUAAAUAUGACCAAACUGAAGAUUUAAUUUUUUAUUCAACUAUCUUCUCCGUGAAAGAAGAAAAUCUGCACACACAAGAUAUAAAUUACACCGCCUUAUACAGUAAAAAGAUAUCUACAAAGAUCUACAAAUUAAGAACAUAUCUAUAACACCCUGGCAACUGUCUCAACGAACGUCAUUAUGUAUAGUUAUAAA